CGCUUCCCGAUCGCGCCCUCGCAGCGCCGGGGACGCGGCGCUCGCGCUCCCGCCCGAGCCCAGGGAAGCGGAGACAAGGAGGCGCCGCCGCCCCCCUGCUCGCCGCGGCGCCCGGGCCCAAAGCCCGCACCAUGCCGGCCGCCGAGCCGAGCGCCGCCCUCCUCCCGCAGCUCGCGGAGGCGACGACGCUGCCGGCCCCGGACCCGCGGCUGCGAGAGUAGCGGGGCCGGAGUGCGGCACCCAGGCGCCGCGGGGCGGGCGGAGCCGGGAGGAGGAGCAGGCAGGCAUCCUCCGCGGCGCGGCGGGCGGCGGCCCUGCUGCCCUGCGCGCCCAUGGGCCGCGAGGAAGGAGAAUGCGAUCUGCGCUCUCCUCCGGUCGCCGCUGCCGUCCCAGAGCUGCGGGCACCCGGCCGCUGGCUGCGCUAGGACCCACGGCCUCCGGCUGCCGAGGGGCGCUGGGAAGGAAGGAGCGGGAGCCAGAAAGCCCGGGAGACGGGCGCUGGCCGGAGCGCAGCGCGGCAUGCAGCGGCGGGCUCCCGCUCCCGCGUGAGGCUGUCGGCCCCGGGCCCCGCCAUGGCUGGGAAGGACAGUGGCAACCUGAAGACGGUGAGGUUGUGGCGGGACGCCGCCCUGCGCGCCAGGAAACUGCGGAGCAACCUGCGCCAGCUCACGCUCAGCGCGGCCGGAGGCUGCCCAGCUGCUGGAUCCGACCCGCUCGAGUCCCCCGACGCUCCCCAGCUUGUACUGCCGGCCAACAUAGGAGACAUUGAGGUGCUGAACCUGGGGAACAACGGCCUGGAAGAGGUGCCUGAAGGGCUGGGAUCGGCGCUGGGCAGCCUGCGCGUCCUGGUCCUGCGCAGAAACCGCUUUGCCCUGCUGCCCCCGGCCGUGGCCGAGCUCGGCCACCACCUCACCGAGCUGGACGUGAGCCACAACCGGCUGACGACCCUGGGAGCGGAGGUGGUGAGCGCCCUGCGGGAGCUGCGCAAGCUUAACCUCAGCCACAACCAGCUGCCUGCGCUGCCCACCCAGCUGGGCUCCCUCGCCCACCUGGAGGAGCUGGAUGUCAGCUUCAACCGGCUGGCGCAUCUGCCUGACUCCUUCUCGUGCCUCCACCGCCUGCGCACCCUCGACGUGGACCACAACCAGCUCAGCGCCUUCCCCCGGCAGCUGCUGCAGCUGGUCGCCCUAGAGGAGCUGGACGUGUCCAGCAACCGGCUGCGGGGCCUACCUGAGGAUAUCAGUGCCCUGAGUGCCCUCAAGAUCCUGUGGCUGAGCGGGGCCGAGCUGGGCACGCUGCCCAGCGGUUUCUGUGAACUGGCCAGUUUGGAGAGCCUCAUGCUGGACAGCAACGGGCUGCAGGCUCUGCCCGCCCAGUUCAGCCGGCUGCAAAGGCUCAAAAUGCUCAAUCUCUCUUCCAACCUCUUCGAGGAAUUCCCUGCCGCUCUGCUGCCCCUGGCCAGCCUGGAGGAGCUCUACCUGAGUCGUAACCAGCUCACGUCGGUGCCGUCCCUCAUCUCGGGCCUGAGCCGGCUUCUCACUCUCUGGCUGGACAAUAACCGCAUCCGCUACCUGCCUGACUCCAUCGUGGAGCUAACAGGCCUAGAGGAGCUGGUGCUGCAGGGCAACCAGAUCGCGGUGCUGCCGGACAACUUCGGCCAGCUCUCCCGGGUGGGCCUGUGGAAGAUCAAGGACAACCCGCUGAUCCAGCCCCCCUACGAGGUCUGCAUGAAGGGAAUCCCCUACAUUGCCGCCUACCAGAAAGAACUGGCUCACUCCCAGCCUGCUGUGCAGCCUAGGCUCAAGCUGCUCCUGCUGGGCCACAAGGCUGCGGGCAAAAGCUUGCUGCGCCAUUGCCUCACGGAGGAAAGCAUGGAGGAAGUCCAGGGAGCAGGGGACAAGGAGAAGAGCUGCCUACCCUCACCUCCCCCUGGGAGCAAGGGCAUCGAAGUGACCAGCUGGACGGCUGAUGCGUCCAGGGGCCUGCGAUUUAUCGUGUAUGACCUGGCUGGGGACGAGAGCUACGAGGUGAUCCAGCCCUUCUUCCUCUCCCCAGGGGCCCUGUACGUGCUGGUGGUCAACUUGGCCACCUACGAGCCUCGCCGCUUCCCUAGCACCGUGGGCUCCUUCUUGCACCGGGUGGGAGCGCGGGUGCCUCAUGCCGUGGUAUGCAUCGUGGGCACGCACGCAGACUUGUGCGGGGAGCGGGAGCUGGAGGAGAAGUGUCUGGACAUCCACCGCCAGAUCUCUGUGCAGGAGAAACGUGACGCCGAAGGGCUCAGCCGGCUAGCCCGGGUGGUGGACGAGGCGCUGGCCAGGGACUUCGAACUGCGCUCGGCCAGCCCCCAUGCAGCCUACUACGGGGUCUCCGACAAGAACCUCCGACGGCGCAAGGCCCAUUUCCAGUACCUGCUCAACCAUCGGCUACAGAUCCUCUCUCCGGUGUUGCCGGUGAGCUGCAGGGACCCCCGCCAGCUGCAGCGCCUCCGGGACAAGCUGCUGUCAGUGGCCGAGCACCGAGAAAUCUUCCCCAACCUCCAUCGGGUCCUGCCUCGGUCUUGGCAGGUGCUGGAGGAGCUGCAUUUCCAGCCACCUCAGGCCCAGCGACUUUGGCUCAGCUGGUGGGACUCAGCGCGACUGGGCUUGCAGGCGGGACUGACCGAGGACCGGCUACAGAGCGCACUCUCCUACCUGCACGAGAGCGGUAAGCUGCUCUACUUUGAGGACAGCCCGGCCCUCAAGGAACAUGUCUUCCACAACCUCACCCGCCUCAUCGACAUCCUCAAUGUCUUUUUCCAGCGGGACGCCUCCUUGCUGCUGCAUAAACUGCUGCUCGGCACCAGUGGAGAGGGAGAGGCUGAGGUAGAUGGCGCCCCCGCCACAGCGCUCCUCUCCCCAAACCAGGACCUGCUGCGGGCCACCCAGCUCCAUCAUUAUGUGGAGGGCUUUCUGCUCCAUGGGCUCCUGCCAGCCCACGUCAUUCGGUUGCUAUUGAAGCCUCAUGUGCAGGCACAGCAGGAUUUGCAGCUGCUGCUGGAGCUGCUGGAGAAGAUGGGACUCUGUUACUGCCUCAAUAAACCCAAGGGCAAGCCUUUGAAUGGAUCCACAGCCUGGUACAAGUUCCCAUGCUAUGUACAGAAUGAGGUGCCCCAUGCAGAGGCCUGGUUCAACGGGACCAACUUAGCUGGCCAAUCUUUUGUGGCGGAGCAGCUACAGAUCCAGUACAGUUUUCCCUUUACCUUUCCACCUGGCUUGUUUGCACGCUAUAGUGUUCAGAUCAACAGCCACGUGGUACACAGGUCCGAUGGGAAAUUUCAGAUCUUUGCAUACAGGGGCAAAGUUCCCGUGGUGGUGAGUUACAAACCUGCCAAGGGAGUCCUGCAGCCAGACACCCUGUCCAUUGCCAGCCAUGCCUCGUUACCAAAUAUAUGGACCGCGUGGCAGGCCAUCACCCCCUUGCUGGAGGAGCUGAAUGUUCUGCUUCAGGAGUGGCCUGGUCUGCACUACACCGUGCACAUCCUCUGUUCUAAGUGCCUUAAGAGAGGGUCGCCUAAUCCACAUGCUUUCCCAGGGGAGUUGCUGAGCCAGCCCAGACCAGAAGGAGUGGCCGAGAUCAUCUGCCCCAAGAACGGCAGCGAGCGAGUGAAUGUUGCCUUGGUUUACCCACCGACGCCAACCGUGAUCAGCCCCUGUUCCAAGUACCUUCAUACUUUCUUGGAAAAUUAAGUGGAAAAGAUAGUGCUACUUUCCCUUAUGCCACCAUUUUUACUGUGCCCAAUCUGUGACUUUGGGAGCACCUGUUGUGUAAGGGAAGAACGUUGGUGAAAAGCACAGAAACCAGUGACUUUCAUGGCUGUGACAUUUCUGUGGAGCAGAGAGCGCACCAGGACUUCCUGGGACCACCCCACCACCACCACCACCCCUGUUUGGCCCCGGCUGGCCCUCCGCACUCCCAAGCACGUUCUGCUUGAACUUGAAGGAAGCAAUGUUCAGUGUCUGAGAACCCGGAAGAGGUGGGGAGAGGGCAGGGGAAGGAGGGGAGAGAUUAUGGAGCAAAUGUUUUACAACCUGAACCUCAGAACUGUGAUCCUCCAAGGAGAGCACUACUUGAAGACAAGGAAAAAAAAGUCGGACGGCUUCUCAGGGAUUUUGUUUUCCGCGUACAUACAAGCCAUAGGUUCAGUCCGGGUGGCAGUAUUUCGAGCCCUCAGAUUUCAGUUCUGUUCAAUGUGAAAGAAGGAUCGACUGACAUUCAUCGCUGUUCCCGUAAACUAGUGUAAAAUAUGUAUAUGUUUAUCUUUAUUUUUAUAAUAUGCAAAUACAUUUAAAUUUAUACAGUUUGAAGCUUCUAGCGUUAGUUGACACUGGGUGCAAUAUUUUGCAUGAGAACUGUGCCAAACUGGAGCUGAUCUCUUCUUUUUCCCGUGAGACUAAAUUUUUUUUUUCUUUCUUGAUUUGUCAAUCCUCCUUCUCAGAUGUGAAAAACAAAACAGGUGUUUGUCCAGGAGCCCAUGGUUCUAAGCUUGCCGGUAGGCAGCUGGGCCCUUAACUGCGUUUGCAACCAUGGCUUGGUCCCCACCCUGCUUUUCCAUAGUGAUCCCUGCCUGUUAGUCACCAGGCAUGGCACAGGGUGAUUCCUUCCCUUCCUCCAUGUAGUCUGAGUGUCGGGCAAAGCCAGAGGCACCAUAGCAGUUAAAGGCACCCUGAGCCUUGGCCUAACUUAAUGCAAAUCAGGGGUCUGUGACUGGUCAGACCCAGGGGCUCUGUGCUAGUAAGUCCCUGUCUGGACAGUCUGGGAAUCAGCACAGCACUUUCACACUGGCUGGUGGACCCUCCAACAGCGGGCUGGCCAGGUGGAAGGCUGGAUCCCACCUUAAUGGUAAUAACACACAGAGCCUCUCAUUGGACACAGUCUGCUGCCCAGGGCCAGCAAAAUGCUGGAUUUAAAAACCUCCAUAAGGUGCAGCUAGAAAAGCAAACCGGCAAAUCACUUGUUCUCUUUCACCCAGUUGGGGCCAAGCAACAUACACUGUAGUAGUAGCACCUAAACUUUGGAGAACAUAGAAGCCGUAUGUUUCCCUCCGACUCCUCCCCCUGGAAAUCAGACACCAUGGAAAGCCAACCGUUUCUCACCAGUGGCAGGCAAGGAACGAGUCAGCUGGUAUUCCUCUUCCACUUCUUGUACAAAGUGUUGAUUCUUGGAAUGCCACAGCCUACAAAACGCGCUCCGAGAAAUAAACAAGUGGCUGCAUUGCAGGAAAUUACACAUUUGUUUGGUGCAGAAUCUGCUGUGCCCAGCAAGGCCACUGGGCUGGCUCUGGGUCGGCCGGUGGAAUUUAUCUGACUUCCUCCAGCUAGAAAAGAGUCCCACAGAUCAGGUGACACUCGAGUGUCUCCACACUUGAAUGUGGCGUUAAUCAAGUUUAGGGGGUUCAUUUGCUUUUUGUACACAGUCACAACAUAACUCGGGUUGAUCCUUUUGUCACAGUUCUCGUGUGUGUGUAUAUGUGUGUGUGUGUGUGUGUGUGUGUGUGUGUGUGUGUGUGUACUGAAUGGUAACAUUUACUUGCUUCAUGAACUAUUGAAUUGUUGGGCAAUAAGUUUUUUCUUUUUUAAUUGGCAUAAGACAGUUGCCACUGUCCAUUGAACCAACUUUGACCAGUCUUCUACAUGAAAAAUAUUCUGUUAAGUGUAUGAUGUUGGGCUGACACCCCCAAGGGAGAGGGGGGCAUGGAAAAUGAAAGAAGUGCUCCUCAGAGCAACACAUCCCUCCCCCCAAGUGUCUGCUCCUAGUGUGAACAAAGUGCCCACAGUCUUAAUAUCUGAUUUCUGAUAACUGAUGUUUUGUGCCAUCACUGGAACCCUAGAGAAGCAGUGUAGGAGGUAACAUUGGUGUCGCGUGGUUCUAGAAAAAGGGUGGCCCCUGGUGGAGGGUCGUGUAACCACAGAGAAGCCCCAGGAAGGCAGAACU
RNA transcript from Ochotona princeps (American pika), 5970 nucleotides. It is a transcript of the gene named multifunctional ROCO family signaling regulator 1, with no coding region annotated. NCBI's taxonomy places the organism in Eukaryota, Metazoa, Chordata, Mammalia, Lagomorpha, Ochotonidae. The record is from RefSeq and is a predicted model, not a curated record. The transcript is spliced from 4 exons.